GGCUCCACCCCCAUGAAUCUAGGGGUGCUCAAUGUCAUCACAAGGGUCCUUAAGAGGGAAAGAGGAAGCCAUGAGGGUCAGAGUCAAAGGAAGACUUGAAGAUACUACACUGAGGACUUUAAAGAUGAAGGAAGGGGCGAAAACCAAGAAUGUGGGAAGCCUCUAGAAGCUAGAGAAGGCAAGGAAACAGAUUUUCCACUAGAGCCUCCAGAAGGAACACAGCCCUGCUGACCCACUGUAAUGUCUGACCUCUAGAUGUGUAAGGGUAGUAAGACUGAAAGUCUCAGAAAGGCACUGUUACAUUCUUAUUCCACAACCAUGCAACUCAAAACUGGGGUCCUCAGCAAUGAGCGAGGGGCGAGAGAAGGCACUGUAUAAACAUGGCACAUCCUCCUGGAAAGUCAACUUUACUCAAAGGUUCUUACACACAGUGACAGCUAGCAGAGUCUAAAGUGCUGACAUUAUGACUUAGAGAUGUGAUAAAGAGAAACAUCUAUUGCAUUUUCUAAAACGUUUGGCAAUUCCCAGUCUACACUUACACUGUCCAAUGGAAAUACAAUGCAAACCAGAAGUGUAAUUGUGACAGUCUCAUGUUGGCCAUGGGGUACUCUCUGCGUCAUGCUAGAAAGAGUUUAUGGUCCCACCUGCAUCCAUGAGAAAGAGAAAACAAAGCUUCAAUUUUAAGUCCUUGGAAAUUCCAUGCCAUUAAGAAACUGCUACUGCCAGCUUUCUGGUGUUAUUUAAAGGGGUAAAAAGUUCAUUACACUAGUGUUCUUAUAAGUGUUGGUUUUAUUUCAUAUUAUUUGAAGAGCUAUUCUAUUUAAUAACAAUAAAUUGCUUAGAAGAUGUCAGACCUGUGUUUGGGUUAGGGGUUGCUUUUAGCUGCAGGUAAGAACACUCACAAAAGAGGGGCUUAAAUGCAACAAAAGGGGAAGGGCUAAGGGCAAAAGGCACAUGACUUCAGCAUCUGUGCCUUAUAGAGAUAACCAUAUUUUCUCUAGAUGCUCAUUGAACAGAACUAUUUCUCAUGGUCAAUCACAACCAAAAGACAGCUGGGGAAAUUCAGGAUUUUAACAGGGCACACUUACUAUGCUGAACAAAAUCUGAGUUCUUAAUUUUAAAAAAGAAGAGAAUGAUAUUAGAGAGAUACAUGUUCCAUAAUAGUUAUUUAACUGUUUGUGUUUAAUAAACAUCACUUCAUAUCAAA
RNAcentral lists this long non-coding RNA (1207 nucleotides) under Pongo abelii (Sumatran orangutan). RNAcentral's name for it is "lincRNA". Lineage: Eukaryota; Metazoa; Chordata; Mammalia; Primates; Hominidae. The record is from RNAcentral.